UACGUAGGGUGCAAGCGUUGUCCGGAAUUAUUGGGCGUAAAGAGCUCGUAGGCGGUUUGUCGCGUCUGCUGUGAAAACGCGAGGCUCAACCUCGCGCCUGCAGUGGGUACGGGCAGACUAGAGUGCGGUAGGGGAGAUUGGAAUUCCUGGUGUAGCGGUGGAAUGCGCAGAUAUCAGGAGGAACACCGAUGGCGAAGGCAGAUCUCUGGGCCGUUACUGACGCUGAGGAGCGAAAGCGUGGGGAGCGAACAGG
Molecule: ribosomal RNA, 253 nt
Filed under: uncultured bacterium
Lineage: Bacteria
Description: partial 16S ribosomal RNA
Rfam family: Bacterial small subunit ribosomal RNA
Source: RNAcentral